Long non-coding RNA from Perca flavescens (yellow perch), 1407 nucleotides. RefSeq lists it as uncharacterized. The record is from RefSeq and is a predicted model, not a curated record. The transcript is spliced from 11 exons. Lineage: Eukaryota; Metazoa; Chordata; Actinopteri; Perciformes; Percidae.
CCCACAAAGAUAGUGCCACACACUGUGUGUGUGUGUGUGUGUGUGUGUGUCUGUGUCUGUUCAUACUUCCAGGUGACCUCCAGCUGCAGUUUGAUGGUUCCCAGCUCCGUGAUGUCCACCAACAUCAGCUGCGGCCUCACCACAAAGAAAUCUGCGCUGGCACACGUCACCAUGCCAACCAGCAGCCAACCCAAACCCUUGGCCUCCGUCACCUGAAAGAAGAGAUUUGAAGGUUGUGGUGUAUGUGCGGGAGGAAGACCAUCUCCUCCUGGUCCCAGUACUGCGUGUCGUCUGAUUGGAUCCUCCCUCUGAUCCUCCAUCGCUGGCGGCCCAGACGCACCACCACCUGUGACAUCAUCCAGACAUGACGUCACUAACAGUGCCGGCUCUGGUUCUAGCCCUGUUUUCCCUUUAGCUGUGUCUGUGGUUGCGACUGAGCUCCAGCAGGCUCUCUCUGGAGGCUCUGGUGGACGGCGACAGUGAGAAGGCUCUCUUCAUGUUGACCACUCCCUGACACAACCUCCACUGGAUACAAUGCCUUGCCUUUGCUUUCCAGCCACCUGAACCUGAACACUUAUCUGCACAUUGCUACCCGCCUGCCUGCACCUUUUCCCUGCCCCAUUCCUGUUUGGACAACUAUGCCAUCUGGAGUUUCUCUUGGUCUCUCUCUGCUGGGAAGACAGGAAGUCCAUAUCUGCCUGGUGACCCUCCAGCGUUCCACUCACCGCCGUCGUCCAGUCAGAGAGCUGAAGCCGGUGAAGGAGCGGCUCCUGUUGACCAAACCUGAGGGCGAGUCGAAUCGCAGCUUCACCGACAUCCUGAAGAAAGCGAGAAUAAUUACAGCAUAUAGCACCAUCUAGUGGGCUCAGAAAAUGAAAACAACUGUUCACGAGGCUCCAUAAGGUCCCCACUAACAGUGGUCAGCCUUUCUAUGGACUUCUUCCAGCGGCCACUGGCGGUAUUGCAACAAAAAAAUCCCUCUGCGACCUAGAAAGGAUUUUCCCCUGACAGGACACCUCCAACUACAAACAAGGUGAGGAUGCUGUGUCCAGUGGAUCGAUGCUUCCCCCUCAUCUCAACAAUGCUGAGUAUCGGCUUCGAGAAAUGCACAACGUGGAGGAAUCGGCUCCGUUGCAUUCAGCUGAGAGCAGCAGAAUAACAUAGUUCAGAUUGGCUGAACAGCACAUCAACCAGCUGUAACAAACUACGUUUCAGAAAGUUGUCAUGUGGAGCAGCAGGAGUAGAUUUUUCUCUCACUUCAUCAUUUCUCCAGAGAGUUUGUGGAGGUGAAGGCUACAAAGCGUGGGGCAAGGCUUUCCACAAUAUUCAGGAACCUGGUUGCAGAGAUUUGCAAGAGCUGCAGGCCACUGGAGGCUUUUCUCAGAGGAAAAAGAUGUUUUUGCUCUU